CAUUAGCCUAUUAAUUGUAGGCUGGCAUCAACGGUUAGACGACAGAAAAUCUGUCUUUUUCUUUAAAAUCUUAAUUUGACGUUUAAGUGAAGAGGCUUAAAUUAAAUAGCGGGACGAGAAGACCCUAUUGAGCUUUAGGCUUUUAUUUUUUAUAUUAAAAUAAAAGUUUUGGGUUGGGGCAACCAUUCCUAGAAUUUAACAGGAAUAAAAAUUAAAAGUGAAUCAAAUCUUUUUUGGACCCGGAAAUAUUCCGGUAAUUGGAAAAAGUUACCUUAGGGAUAACAGCGUAAUU
RNAcentral lists this ribosomal RNA (292 nucleotides) under Ophionereis fasciata. RNAcentral describes it as "partial large subunit ribosomal RNA". Lineage: Eukaryota; Metazoa; Echinodermata; Ophiuroidea; Amphilepidida; Ophionereidae. The record is from RNAcentral.